GAGGGUGUGGCUCAGUGGCAAAGCAUGGGUUCAGCACACCUACAGCCCUGGGUUCCAUUCCAGCACUUUCC
RNAcentral lists this transfer RNA (71 nucleotides) under Cavia porcellus (domestic guinea pig). It matches the Rfam family "tRNA". Rfam says of the family: Transfer RNA (tRNA) molecules are approximately 80 nucleotides in length. Their secondary structure includes four short double-helical elements and three loops (D, anti-codon, and T loops). Further hydrogen bonds mediate the characteristic L-shaped molecular structure. tRNAs have two regions of fundamental functional importance: the anti-codon, which is responsible for specific mRNA codon recognition, and the 3' end, to which the tRNAs corresponding amino acid is attached (by aminoacyl-tRNA synthetases). tRNAs cope with the degeneracy of the genetic code in two manners: having more than one tRNA (with a specific anti-codon) for a particular amino acid; and 'wobble' base-pairing, i.e. permitting non-standard base-pairing at the 3rd anti-codon position. Lineage: Eukaryota; Metazoa; Chordata; Mammalia; Rodentia; Caviidae. The record is from Rfam by way of RNAcentral.